RNAcentral lists this ribosomal RNA (497 nucleotides) under uncultured bacterium. RNAcentral describes it as "partial 16S ribosomal RNA". It matches the Rfam family "Bacterial small subunit ribosomal RNA", at positions 28 to 507 of the family's 1533-position model. The record is from RNAcentral.
GACGAACGCUGGCGGCGUGCCUAAUACAUGCAAGUUGAGCGCUGAAGGUUGGUACUUGUACCAACUGGAUGAGCAGCGAACGGGUGAGUAACGCGUGGGGAAUCUGCCUUUGAGCGGGGGACAACAUUUGGAAACGAAUGCUAAUACCGCAUAAAAACUUUAAACACAAGUUUUAAGUUUGAAAGAUGCAAUUGCAUCACUCAAAGAUGAUCCCGCGUUGUAUUAGCUAGUUGGUGAGGUAAAGGCUCACCAAGGCGAUGAUACAUAGCCGACCUGAGAGGGUGAUCGGCCCCAUUGGGACUGAGACACGGCCCAAACUCCUACGGGAGGCAGCAGUAGGGAAUCUUCGGCAAUAGACGAAAGUCUGACCGAGCAACGCCGCGUGAGUGAAGAAGGUUGUCGGAUCGUAAAACUCUGUUGGUAGAGAAGAACGUUGGUGAGAGUGGAAAGCUCAUCAAGUGACGGUAACUACCCAGAAAGGGACGGCUAACUACGUG